GAAAGCCCAGAGGAAUUUGUUCACCUCCUUCAGCACGCGUCAUGGAGCAAUGACCAUGACUACAUUGGGAGAUGAUGUGAUAUGAAGCUCUGAAACCUUCUCUCAUUUCUCUCUUUGGCCAUGUCAACAGGUCAAUGUCUGAAGGUCAAGCAAAAGGAACAAAGUGAAACAAAUACCAGUAAAAUGAGAGGAAAAAUAUUCUCCUCUUGUUUGGCAAAGCUUGGACUAGAAAUGGCCCCUCUGGCAAAGAUUUCUUGGGACCUAAAGUCAACUAGUGAUGCCCACAGUCUAUGAACAAAGUAUAUUCUGUUCAUAGGCCCAUAGUCAGUGCCUAGCCAGUCCAGCUAGGUAUUUGGUUAUUUGAAGUUUCACAGCCUUUUUGUAUUUAUCAUUUGGAUCCUGACAGCCUUAGAGGAGCUGUUUCCUUCCAGCAGAGAAUUGUUGCAGACAACAUGGACCUCUGGUUGAAGGAGAUGAUGG
RNAcentral lists this long non-coding RNA (480 nucleotides) under Gallus gallus (chicken). RNAcentral describes it as "lncRNA (ENSGALG00010010258.1)". The record is from RNAcentral. Lineage: Eukaryota; Metazoa; Chordata; Aves; Galliformes; Phasianidae.